ACAGCAGCCGCCACGGUAAUACGGAGGGUGCAAGCGUUAAUCGGAAUUACUGGGCGUAAAGCGCACGCAGGCGGUCUGUCAAGUCAGAUGUGAAAUCCCCGGGCUUAACCUGGGAACUGCAUUUGAAACUGGCAGGCUAGAGUCUUGUAGAGGGGGGUAGAAUUCCAGGUGUAGCGGUGAAAUGCGUAGAGAUCUGGAGGAAUACCGAUGGCGAAGGCAGCCAUCUGGCCUAAUACUGACGCUGAGGUACGAAAGCAUGGGGAGCAAACAGGAUUAGAUACCCCAGUAGUCCCUGUCUCUUAUAC
RNAcentral lists this ribosomal RNA (305 nucleotides) under uncultured bacterium. RNAcentral describes it as "partial 16S ribosomal RNA". It matches the Rfam family "Bacterial small subunit ribosomal RNA", at positions 508 to 807 of the family's 1533-position model. The record is from RNAcentral.